AAUAUUGGUCAAUGGGCGAAAGCCUGAACCAGCCAUGCCGCGUGAAGGAUUAAGGUCCUCUGGAUUGUAAACUUCUUUUAUCUGGGACGAAAAAAGGGAAUUCUUUCUCACUUGACGGUACCAGAUGAAUAAGCACCGGCUAACUCCGUGCCAGCAGCCGCGGUAAUACGUAGGUGGCAAGCGUUGUCCGGAUUUACUGGGCGUAAAGGGCGUGCAGGCGGUCUGUUAAGUUCAGGGUGAAAGCUCCCGGCUCAACUGGGAGAGGUCCUUGGAUACUGGCAGACUUGAGGGAGGUAGAGGAGAGUGGAAUUCCCGGUGUAGUGGUGAUAUGCGUAGAUAUCGGGAGGAACACCAGUGGCGAAGGCGGCUCUCUGGGCCUUUCCUGACGCUGAGACGCGAAAGCGUGGGGAGCGAACC
This 417-nucleotide ribosomal RNA is filed under the name uncultured bacterium. RNAcentral's name for it is "bacterial SSU rRNA". It matches the Rfam family "Bacterial small subunit ribosomal RNA", at positions 360 to 774 of the family's 1533-position model. The record is from RNAcentral.